AAGGUGUUUUCCCUCUUUGUGGCGUCCCUAAUACAUGCAAGUCGAGCGGACAGAUGGGAGCUUGCUCCCUGAAGUCAGCGGCGGACGGGUGAGUAACACGUGGGCAACCUGCCUGUAAGACUGGGAUAACUCCGGGAAACCGGGGCUAAUACCGGAUAAUUCUUUCCCUCACAUGAGGGAAAGCUGAAAGAUGGUUUCGGCUAUCACUUACAGAUGGGCCCGCGGCGCAUUAGCUAGUUGGUGAGGUAACGGCUCACCAAGGCAACGAUGCGUAGCCGACCUGAGAGGGUGAUCGGCCACACUGGGACUGAGACACGGCCCAGACUCCUACGGGAGGCAGCAGUAGGGAAUCUUCCGCAAUGGACGAAAGUCUGACGGAGCAACGCCGCGUGAGUGAUGAAGGUUUUCGGAUCGUAAAACUCUGUUGUUAGGGAAGAACAAGUACCGGAGUAACUGCCGGUACCUUGACGGUACCUAACCAGAAAGCCACGGCUAACUACGUGCCAGCAGCCGCGGUAAUACGUAGGUGGCAAGCGUUGUCCGGAAUUAUUGGGCGUAAAGCGCGCGCAAGCGGUUUCUUAAGUCUGAUGUGAAAGCCCCCGGCUUAACCCGGAGGGGUCAUUGGAAACUGGGGAACUUUAGUUCAGAAAAAAAGAAUGGAAAUUCCCUUGUUCC
This 675-nucleotide ribosomal RNA is filed under the name Bacillus sp. JS17. RNAcentral's name for it is "bacterial SSU rRNA". It matches the Rfam family "Bacterial small subunit ribosomal RNA", at positions 25 to 679 of the family's 1533-position model. Lineage: Bacteria; Bacillati; Bacillota; Bacilli; Caryophanales; Bacillaceae. The record is from RNAcentral.